Molecule: long non-coding RNA, 312 nt
Organism: Dicentrarchus labrax (European seabass)
Lineage: Eukaryota; Metazoa; Chordata; Actinopteri; Moronidae
Exons: 2
Source: RefSeq, a predicted model, not a curated record
GUUUUUUACAGGGAGCACCUCCAUUGUUGGCAGGACUCCGAUCUGAACAAGAAAAGAACAUUUAGAGCGAUCAAAAUUUUAUCAGAAGGAAUUUGGCUUCUGAAUUUUGAAAGUGUCCCAAUUGUACCAGAGAAAAUAAAUCCCCAAAAGACACAGCAAUUGGUGAGAAACACUGUAGCAUCAUAUUCAGAGCUGAAACCCCACAAAGUGUGAGCGGCUGGAACCUAACUAUGGAUGCUGGGGACUGGGAGGUCGUAUUUGGGUUUCUUCUUGCGGGGAUGCGACUUGACGGCUCGUGGUGGCCGACACGGG